This 76-nucleotide transfer RNA is filed under the name Puniceicoccales bacterium. RNAcentral describes it as "tRNA-Ala". It matches the Rfam family "tRNA". Rfam says of the family: Transfer RNA (tRNA) molecules are approximately 80 nucleotides in length. Their secondary structure includes four short double-helical elements and three loops (D, anti-codon, and T loops). Further hydrogen bonds mediate the characteristic L-shaped molecular structure. tRNAs have two regions of fundamental functional importance: the anti-codon, which is responsible for specific mRNA codon recognition, and the 3' end, to which the tRNAs corresponding amino acid is attached (by aminoacyl-tRNA synthetases). tRNAs cope with the degeneracy of the genetic code in two manners: having more than one tRNA (with a specific anti-codon) for a particular amino acid; and 'wobble' base-pairing, i.e. permitting non-standard base-pairing at the 3rd anti-codon position. Lineage: Bacteria; Pseudomonadati; Verrucomicrobiota; Opitutia; Puniceicoccales. The record is from RNAcentral.
GGGGUCGUAGCUUAGUUGGAAGAGCGCCUGCUUUGCAUGCAGGAGGUCGUCGGUUCGAAUCCGAUCGACUCCACCA